This 213-nucleotide unclassified non-coding RNA is filed under the name Glomus sp. RNAcentral describes it as "partial contains 5.8S ribosomal RNA and internal transcribed spacer 2". The stretch from base 1 to 65 matches the Rfam family "5.8S ribosomal RNA", at positions 84 to 154 of the family's 154-position model. Lineage: Eukaryota; Fungi; Glomeromycota; Glomeromycetes; Glomerales; Glomeraceae. The record is from RNAcentral.
GUGAAUCAUCGAAUUUUUGAACGCAAAUUGCACUCUCCUCGGAGAGUAUGCCUGUUUGAGGGUCAGCCUAUAAAAAAUCGACAUCGUUGCUGUUUCGCGGUGGCGUUCGUCGGAAAUUGGGUCAUCUUAAUUCUUUUGGUUUUAACCUCUUUAAAAUUUCUUUUGGUUUCCUUAACCUUUCUUAGGUCCUAUUCCUUACACCUUUUAGGGAUU